GAGUUUGAUCAUGGCUCAGAUUGAACGCUGGCGGCAGGCCUAACACAUGCAAGUCGAGCGGUAGAGAGAAGCUUGCUUCUCUUGAGAGCGGCGGACGGGUGAGUAAUGCCUAGGAAUCUGCCUGGUAGUGGGGGAUAACGCUCGGAAACGGACGCUAAUACCGCAUACGUCCUACGGGAGAAAGCAGGGGACCUUCGGGCCUUGCGCUAUCAGAUGAGCCUAGGUCGGAUUAGCUAGUUGGUGAGGUAAUGGCUCACCAAGGCGACGAUCCGUAACUGGUCUGAGAGGAUGAUCAGUCACACUGGAACUGAGACACGGUCCAGACUCCUACGGGAGGCAGCAGUGGGGAAUAUUGGACAAUGGGCGAAAGCCUGAUCCAGCCAUGCCGCGUGUGUGAAGAAGGUCUUCGGAUUGUAAAGCACUUUAAGUUGGGAGGAAGGGCAGUAAAUUAAUACUUUGCUGUUUUGACGUUACCGACAGAAUAAGCACCGGCUAACUCUGUGCCAGCCC
RNAcentral lists this ribosomal RNA (510 nucleotides) under uncultured bacterium. Its description in RNAcentral is "bacterial SSU rRNA". It matches the Rfam family "Bacterial small subunit ribosomal RNA", at positions 9 to 514 of the family's 1533-position model. The record is from RNAcentral.